GAUGAACGCUGGCGGCGUGCCUAAUACAUGCAAGUCGAGCGAACGGACGAGAAGCUUGCUUCUCUGAUGUUAGCGGCGGACGGGUGAGUAACACGUGGAUAACCUACCUAUAAGACUGGGAUCACUUCGGGAAACCGGAGCUAAUACCGGAUGAUAUUUUGAACCGCAUGGUUCAAAAGUGAAAGACGGUCUUGCUGUCACUUAUAGAUGGAUCCGCGCUGCAUUAGCUAGUUGGUAAGGUAACGGCUUACCAAGGCAACGAUGCAUAGCCGACCUGAGAGGGUGAUCGGCCACACUGGAACUGAGACACGGUCCAGACUCCUACGGGAGGCAGCAGUAGGGAAUCUUCCGCAAUGGGCGAAAGCCUGACGGAGCAACGCCGCGUGAGUGAUGAAGGUCUUCGGAUCGUAAAACUCUGUUAUUAGGGAAGAACAUAUGUGUAAGUAACUGUGCACAUCUUGACGGUACCUAAUCAGAAAGCCACGGCUAACUACGUG
RNAcentral lists this ribosomal RNA (497 nucleotides) under uncultured bacterium. RNAcentral describes it as "partial 16S ribosomal RNA". It matches the Rfam family "Bacterial small subunit ribosomal RNA", at positions 28 to 507 of the family's 1533-position model. The record is from RNAcentral.